RNAcentral lists this ribosomal RNA (254 nucleotides) under uncultured bacterium. Its description in RNAcentral is "partial 16S ribosomal RNA". It matches the Rfam family "Archaeal small subunit ribosomal RNA", at positions 474 to 727 of the family's 1478-position model. The record is from RNAcentral.
CCCCAGCGCCACAAGUGGUUAUCACGAUUAUUGGGCCUAAAGCGUUCGUAGCCGGUUUGGUAAAUCUCUUGUGAAAUUGUUCGGCUUAACCGGACAGCGUGCAGGAGACACUGCCAGACUCGAGACCGGGAGGCGUAAGAAGUAUUCCAUGGGGACUGGUAAAAUGGGAUAAUCCAUGGAAGACUACCGAUGGCGAAGGCAUCUUACGAGAACUGAUCUGACGGUGAGGAACGAAAGCCAGGGGAGCGAACCGG